GUGGGGAAUCUUGCGCAAUGGGCGAAAGCCUGACGCAGCCAUGCCGCGUGGAUGAUGAAGGUCUUAGGAUUGUAAAAUCCUUUCACCGGUGAAGAUAAUGACUGUAGCCGGAGAAGAAGCCCCGGCUAACUUCGUGUCAGCAGCCGCGGUAAUACGAAGGGGGCUAGCGUUGCUCGGAUUUACUGGGCGUAAAGGGCGCGUAGGCGGACAUUUAAGUCAGGGGUGAAAUCCCGGGGCUCAACCUCGGAACUGCCUUUGAUACUGGGUGUCUUGAGUAUGAGAGAGGUGUGUGGAACUCCGAGUGUAGAGGUGAAAUUCGUAGAUAUUCGGAAGAACACCAGUGGCGAAGGCGACACACUGGCUCAUUACUGACGCUGAGGCGCGAAAGCGUGGGGAGCAAACAGGAUUAGAUACCCCAGUAGUCC
This 425-nucleotide ribosomal RNA is filed under the name uncultured bacterium. RNAcentral's name for it is "partial 16S ribosomal RNA". It matches the Rfam family "Bacterial small subunit ribosomal RNA", at positions 354 to 796 of the family's 1533-position model. The record is from RNAcentral.